Acanthosepion pharaonis is the source of this 108-nucleotide non-coding RNA. The record is from the annotation of a GenBank genome assembly. NCBI's taxonomy places the organism in Eukaryota, Metazoa, Mollusca, Cephalopoda, Sepiida, Sepiidae.
CUCAUAUCACAUUGAAACACCGGUUCUCGUACAAUCACCGAAGUUAAGCAACGAUGAACCAGGUCAGUAACUAGAUGUAUGGCCGCUUCGGAAUACCAGGUGCUGUAA